Heterocephalus glaber (naked mole-rat) is the source of this 155-nucleotide small nuclear RNA. Its record names the gene U2. It matches the Rfam family "U2 spliceosomal RNA". Rfam says of the family: U2 is a small nuclear RNA (snRNA) component of the spliceosome (involved in pre-mRNA splicing). Complementary binding between U2 snRNA (in an area lying towards the 5' end but 3' to hairpin I) and the branchpoint sequence (BPS) of the intron results the bulging out of an unpaired adenosine, on the BPS, which initiates a nucleophilic attack at the intronic 5' splice site, thus starting the first of two transesterification reactions that mediate splicing. Lineage: Eukaryota; Metazoa; Chordata; Mammalia; Rodentia; Bathyergidae. The record is from Ensembl.
AUCACUUCUCGGCCUUUUGGCUAAGAUCAAGUGUGGUAAGAGCUUUUCAGACUACCUACUUUUCUGACAUAAUUAGUUUAGAAGCAGAACUUUUGCCAAAUAUUUAAAAGCACUUAUUAUACUUAAACUUUUGCUAUUUUUAAGUGUUGUUAUAU